GACGAACGCUGGCGGCGUGCUUAACACAUGCAAGUCGAACGGCAAGGCCCUGCUUUUGUUGGGUGCUCGAGUGGCGAACGGGUGAGUAACACGUGAGUAUCCCGCCCUUUACUUUGGGAUAACUUCAGGAAACUGUGGCUAAUACCGGAUAGGAGCUCCUGCUGCAUGGUGGUGGUUGGAAAGUUGCCGCGGUUGGGGAUGGAUUCGCGGCUUAUCAGCUUGUUGGUUGGGUAGUGGCCUACCAAGGGUUUGAAGGGUAGGCGGCCAGGGCGGGUGAACAGCGACAAUGGGACUGAGGGACGGACCAGACUCGUACGGGAGGCAACAGUGGGGAAUAUUGCACAGUAGGGGGAAGCCUGAGGCGGCAACGCCGCGUGCGGAAUGAAGGCCUGCGGGUUAUAAAAAGCUUUCGGCUAUGACGAAGGGUGAGUGACGGUAAUGUGUAAAGAAGCACCGGCUAACUACGUG
This 468-nucleotide ribosomal RNA is filed under the name uncultured bacterium. RNAcentral describes it as "partial 16S ribosomal RNA". It matches the Rfam family "Bacterial small subunit ribosomal RNA", at positions 28 to 507 of the family's 1533-position model. The record is from RNAcentral.